AUGCGAGACAACAAAACCUCAAGCGUCGUCGAAGGGCACCAAACUCCGAGUCGUCACCGCCGCCACGAGCCCCCAAGAGAGAGGUCGACCAACAGCCCCAAGAUGACCAAGGCAAAGGCUGCAGCCACAUAUCACUUCCACCGCCGCCACCAAGCAGACCAACAGACCAACAACGCUCCAACCGAGACACCAAGCAACCCACGACGGAUCCAUGGCUCCAAGACUAUGCCCCCAAGGGGGAAACGACAUCAAAGAUGGCGUCAUCAUCCAAUCCAAGGAAGGAUUUUAGGCUUUCACCCGGAGCACAUCAAGAACAGGCUAUGA
RNAcentral lists this ribosomal RNA (324 nucleotides) under Triticum aestivum (bread wheat). Its description in RNAcentral is "partial small subunit ribosomal RNA". Lineage: Eukaryota; Viridiplantae; Streptophyta; Magnoliopsida; Poales; Poaceae. The record is from RNAcentral.